GUAGUCUCGCACAGAUGCAUAUCAAUAAGCGGAGGAAAAGAAACUAACAAGGAUUCCCCUAGUAACGGCGAGUGAAGCGGGAAGAGCUCAAAUUUGAAAUCUUCAAGGUUCUACCUUGACGAAUUGUAGUUUAAAGAAGUGUUUUCUGUUAGAUGAGUAGCAAAAGUUCUUUGGAAUAGGACAUCAUAGAGGGUGAGAAUCCCGUAUUUGACCUUUACUUUCAACUUUGUGAUACACUUUCAAAGAGUCGGAUUGUUUGGGAAUGCAGUCCAAAAUGGGUGGUAAAUUUCAUCUAAAGCUAAAUAUUGGCGAGAGACCGAUAGCGAACAAGUACCGUGAGGGAAAGAUGAAAAGAACUUUGAAAAGAGAGUUAAACAGUACGUGAAAUUGUCAAAAGGGAAGCGUUUGACACCAGUGUUGUUUUUCUGAAAAUCAAUUAAAGAACUGUUUAUGCUAAGCUGUUUAGACUUUAUCAGCUAUCUGUUUAGUUUUGAGCUUUUCUUUAAUGCACUUUUCAGUUAACAAGUCAACAUCAAUUUCUUUUGCUGUAAAAAAGCUUGAGGAAGGUGGCUUGAGAUUCGUCUUAAGUGUUUAUAGCCUCUUGCCUAUGCAGUCGGAGAGAUUGAGGUCUGCAGCGUAGAUCCUUCGGGGCUAAAUGCAUUUGUGCUAAGUUAUAGCAUUUUAUAGGACAACUUGUUGACUAUGAUUUGUCUUGUAGCUUACUCGCUUAUGUUAUUUUACCUACGCUUAGGAUGUUGACGCGCGUGUGUGCGUG
Molecule: ribosomal RNA, 775 nt
Filed under: uncultured Neocallimastigales
Lineage: Eukaryota; Fungi; Neocallimastigomycota; Neocallimastigomycetes; Neocallimastigales
Description: partial large subunit ribosomal RNA
Rfam family: Eukaryotic large subunit ribosomal RNA
Source: RNAcentral